Molecule: ribosomal RNA, 159 nt
Filed under: uncultured fungus
Lineage: Eukaryota; Fungi
Description: 5.8S ribosomal RNA
Rfam family: 5.8S ribosomal RNA
About the family: 5.8S ribosomal RNA (5.8S rRNA) is a component of the large subunit of the eukaryotic ribosome. It is transcribed by RNA polymerase I as part of the 45S precursor that also contains 18S and 28S rRNA.
Source: RNAcentral
CAACUUUCAACAACGGAUCUCUUGGUUCUGGCAUCGAUGAAGAACGCAGCGAAAUGCGAUAAAGUAGUGUGAAUUGCAGAAUUCAGUGAAUCAUCGAAUCUUUGAACGCACAUUGCGCCCCUUGGUAUUCCAUGGGGCAUGCCUGUUCGAGCGUCAUUU